Molecule: long non-coding RNA, 244 nt
Filed under: Prunus persica (peach)
Lineage: Eukaryota; Viridiplantae; Streptophyta; Magnoliopsida; Rosales; Rosaceae
Description: long non-coding RNA (PPER_LNC004774)
Source: RNAcentral
UCCACUGCUGAGGGUGAAUGUGGCGAAGAUGUUAUAGUUGGGGUCCGGCAAAAGAGGGGUCGGGGAAAGAGUGAGAUUCUUGGCCCUGCGAUGAAGAGGCGAAGGGCAGUGGUGAGGGAAACUCCAUGGACAGGUCGGGAGAUUCCCAAUAUUUCGGAGGACACAAUUGCUGACCCCCUCAGGCCUGUUCCUCGUGAUUCCCUUUUAGAGGUUGCGAAAUUCUGCUGGGAAUAGGGACAAGAAG